Molecule: ribosomal RNA, 520 nt
Filed under: uncultured archaeon
Lineage: Archaea
Description: bacterial SSU rRNA
Rfam family: Archaeal small subunit ribosomal RNA
Source: RNAcentral
ACGGGGUGCAGCAGGCGCGAAAACUACGCAAUGCGCGAAAGCGUGACGUGGGAACUCCAAGUGCCUUGCCUUAGGGUAAGGCUUUUGUUUAGUGUAACUAGUUAAACGAAUAAGUGCUGGGUAAGACCGGUGCCAGCCGCCGCGGUAACACCGGCAGCGCAAGUGGUGACCGCUUUUAUUGGGCCUAAAGCGUUCGUAGCCGGUUUGGUAAGUCUUUGGGUAAAUCCUUCGGCUUAACCGAAGGACUUCCGAAGAUACUGCCAGACUUGGAGUUGAGAGAAGUCAGAGGUACCUCUGGGGUAGGGGUGAAAUCCUAUAAUCCUGGGGGGACCACCAGUGGCGAAGGCGUCUGACUAGAGCAAGCUCGACGGUGAGGGACGAAAGCCAGGGGCGCGAACGGGAUUAGAUACCCCGGUAGUCCUGGCCGUAAACGCUGCGCGCUAGGUGUUGCAUGCUCUACGAGGGCGUGCAGUGCCGAAGAGAAGUUGAUAAGCGUGCCGCCUGGGAAGUAUACCGCAAG